GAUCACCUAAGUACUUCCCUUUUGCUACAAUAUUCCCUUGAUGUGCACUUUGUGAUCCAUUCAUGUUAUCAAAUGAUUUCUUACACUCUCUUAUAAAUGUUGUUAAAAGUGUCCUAGGGUUAAAUAUCUCCUGCAUUCCAACACUAUAGACAAUAUGAACAGCUUUAACUACUGCCUUGUUUGCCACCAUUUCCUCUAUUAUUUCUGGAAGCUUCGCCAAGAGAGCGUUUGAUCGUUUGAGUGCAUCACAACUCCACUUAAGGUUACUUACCUGAAACAAAUUUCUGAUAUUCGCAUUUGUAAAUUGAUCUGGAAUCCCAAAACCCCCAAUAAAGAAGAGCAAACCUCGGGCAUCGAUUUCUUGAGGCUUUCCUCCUUCAGAAUUCAUCCUCUCCAACCAUGCUAAAGCUGUAUGCUCCGCCUCUUCCUUCACCCAAUUCUCAAGCUCGAUUUCCUU
RNAcentral lists this unclassified non-coding RNA (457 nucleotides) under Hevea brasiliensis (rubber tree). The record is from RNAcentral. Lineage: Eukaryota; Viridiplantae; Streptophyta; Magnoliopsida; Malpighiales; Euphorbiaceae.